CAUGAAGGUUUAUAUGAUCAGGGGGUGCAGCGAGUGUUAAGUAUUUCCCGGAUGUUGCGCUCACUGAGUUGGAGUAAUUGAAGAGGUCGAACCAGUUUCCGUUCGGGAAAUAAGCAUUGACUGAAACUACUCCCGGGUGUAAUGCAGGUGAAACCAUUAUACCUUUACCUACCAGAAACUGUGAAUUGAUUUCGUAAGUGUGAACAUCUUGAGGGAAUGUGAAGAACAGGGGCCUUGCAAUGGGAGUCCCUUUCGUGUGUGCCUCGUACAUUAGGGUGUAAAAGUAUGGCAACAGGCGGUACCGGAGGCCCAGCACUUUCCUAGCUGUGGCAGCCACUGAAUCCCAGAUAUAGAGCUCUUGCCGGAUUGAAUGAAGCUCCGAGUGAUCUCUAGCGAAAGGGUAAAAUGCCCCUAGCUGCAUUAAUGUACACCAAUAAAUAGUGAAUCAGGUACGCAAUUCUUCAUUUUCUCUUGAAGUAUGCUCUCCUAAAUGGUAUGAUAAAACCCUUUAAAAAUCAAGAUAAAUUUAGGAACUUACUUGAAUCCAUCGCCUGCACAGCUCUUCAGUGGUAUUCCCGGAAAAGCCGCAUAUAUCAGCGCCAACCAUUGGAAUUCCAAAGAGUCCGAAGUUCAAAAUGGAUGGAAUUGUGUAAGCCAAAUCCUCCCAGGUGGCUGCAUUGUCACCAGUCCAGUGUGCUGUAUAUUUCCC
This 709-nucleotide long non-coding RNA is filed under the name Gossypium barbadense (sea-island cotton). RNAcentral's name for it is "long non-coding RNA (GBAR_LNC003730)". Lineage: Eukaryota; Viridiplantae; Streptophyta; Magnoliopsida; Malvales; Malvaceae. The record is from RNAcentral.